UAAAAUAUUUCAUGUAGACAACUACAGCUAUAAAGCACUAACAGGCUUGUGGCUCCUUUGCAGCGUUCUGGUUGUACAAAGAAGAAAGUUGUUGUUGCCCGAGACACAUCACAUGUUUUAAGCAGAAGAGCCUAUGAUGUACAGAAUGCAUCUUCUUCAAAUAGCAGCCACUCUGACGUGCAGGGUGGAUCAUUUAUUGCAACCAGCGGAUCAAGUAAUCAGGUCAGGAUUUUCUUUAUUUUGAGCUAGUCUUGUUCAGAUAGCUUCUGAGUAAUUAAACUAAUUAAAUUCAGAAAUAGGAAUUUAAGUAAUUUUACAUUGGAAGACUGGUGAUGCUAUCCAUUAAUUUGUAAAU
This 355-nucleotide long non-coding RNA is filed under the name Parus major (Great Tit). RNAcentral's name for it is "lncRNA (ENSPMJG00000019333.1)". The record is from RNAcentral. Lineage: Eukaryota; Metazoa; Chordata; Aves; Passeriformes; Paridae.